Molecule: ribosomal RNA, 974 nt
Filed under: Bacillus sp. (in: firmicutes)
Lineage: Bacteria; Bacillati; Bacillota; Bacilli; Caryophanales; Bacillaceae
Description: bacterial SSU rRNA
Rfam family: Bacterial small subunit ribosomal RNA
Source: RNAcentral
AGCGGCGGACGGGUGAGUAACACGUGGCCAACCUGUACACUAAAACUGGGAUAACUUCGGGAAACCGAAGCUAAUACCGGAUAGGAUCUUCUCCUUCAUGGGAGAUGAUUGAAAGAUGGUUUCGGCUAUCACUUACAGAUGGGCCCGCGGUGCAUUAGCUAGUUGGUGAGGUAACGGCUCACCAAGGCAACGAUGCAUAGCCGACCUGAGAGGGUGAUCGGCCACACUGGGACUGAGACACGGCCCAGACUCCUACGGGAGGCAGCAGUAGGGAAUCUUCCGCAAUGGACGAAAGUCUGACGGAGCAACGCCGCGUGAGUGAUGAAGGCUUUCGGGUCGUAAAACUCUGUUGUUAGGGAAGAACAAGUACAAGAGUAACUGCUUGUACCUUGACGGUACCUAACCAGAAAGCCACGGCUAACUACGUGCCAGCAGCCGCGGUAAUACGUAGGUGGCAAGCGUUAUCCGGAAUUAUUGGGCGUAAAGCGCGCGCAGGCGGUUUCUUAAGUCUGAUGUGAAAGCCCACGGCUCAACCGUGGAGGGUCAUUGGAAACUGGGGAACUUGAGUGCAGAAGAGAAAAGCGGAAUUCCACGUGUAGCGGUGAAAUGCGUAGAGAUGUGGAGGAACACCACUGGCGAAGGCGGCUUUUUGGUCUGUAACUGACGCUGAGCGCGAAGCGUGGGGAGCAACAGGAUUAUAUACCCUGGUAGUCCACGCCGCAACGAUGAGUGCUGAGUGUUAGAGGGUUUCUGCCCUUUAGUGCUGCAGCUGAGCGCAUUAAGCACUCCGCCUUGGGGGAGUACGUUCGCAGACUGAAAACUGCACACGAAUGACUGGGGGCGCGCACAUUCAGUGCAGCAUGUAGGUUUAAUUCGAGCAACGCUACCACCAUAACAUGUCCUGACAUCCUCUGACACUCUAUAUCGAGCGUGCCCGUCGAGUACGAGUGACAGUGUGCAUGUGUCGUCAGCUC